RNAcentral lists this ribosomal RNA (461 nucleotides) under uncultured bacterium. Its description in RNAcentral is "bacterial SSU rRNA". It matches the Rfam family "Bacterial small subunit ribosomal RNA", at positions 8 to 507 of the family's 1533-position model. The record is from RNAcentral.
AGAGUUUGAUCAUGGCUCAGAGCGAACGCUAGCGGCGGGCCUAACACAUGCAAGUCGAGCGCAUACCUUCGGGUAUGAGCGGCGGACGGGUGAGUAACGCGUAGGUCAUCUACCCUUUGGUGGGGGAUAACCCAGGGAAACUUGGGCUAAUACCGCACGAGGUCUACGGAUCAAAGCCUUCGGGCGCCAGAGGAUGAGCCUGCGUCGCAUUACCUAGUUGGCGGGGUAACGGCCCACCAAGGGGACGAUGCGUAGCUGGUCUGAGAGGAUGAUCAGCCACACUGGGACUGAGACACGGCCCAGACUCCUACGGGAGGCAGCAGGUGGGGAAUAUUGCGCAAUGGGGGAAACCCUGACGCAGCCACGCCGCGUGGGUGAUGAAGGCCUUCGGGUUGUAAAGCCCUGUCGGGAGGGACGAAUUCUUGACGGUACCUCCAAAGAAAGCACCGGCUAACUCCGUG